Molecule: long non-coding RNA, 2852 nt
Organism: Patella vulgata (common limpet)
Lineage: Eukaryota; Metazoa; Mollusca; Gastropoda; Patellidae
Exons: 2
Source: RefSeq, a predicted model, not a curated record
CACUAACGGGAACGCCCACUCGGUGACGUAUAACGGUGAUGACAUAAUUAUGUUGUACAUCGCAUGCGCGAAGUCAAUAAGGCACAAGUAACUUCCGGCCGUAUGUCAACAUGGCAGAAGCGUACGACGUCCUGGAAUUUCAAGAACUUGACGGUGUAAUAGAUCUUUUCUUUGCUAAAGAUUUGUUUGAGACAUCUCAACCUGUCGUUCCAGUAGCAUCCGUAAGUUUUCUACAUAUACAACAUACAUGCAUAUAGUCACAUAGUGUUCGUAGCAAAUGGGCAAGUUAUGAAACUCAUUAUAGUCUCGACCAUGUCUAUAUAUUUUUUUUCUUCUCAAACGAUCAAAUUGCUUUGGAAAUGAAAUGAAAUGGGGUUUAACGUCCUACUGUUCUGCUCCUAUGCUGGGCUAAUGAAGACGGGCAUACGCCAUAAGGUGUGAUUUAAGGGAAAUUUUGCCCGGGCAGCGGCUCUAUCACCUAUUCUUAUAUCGAAUUCCAACUGCCACGGGAUCUUUUACGUGCAUUCCAAUGUAUACAGGUGACCUCGGGUUUUCGUAUCAUCCGAAGGAUUAGACAGCUGUCCUUGUCAGGCCCUCCGUACUGCAUCACUGAAAAGGGGGAACCACGCCGGAAAAUCUCGGCCAAUGCAGGGAUCGAACACCCGACCUCCAGGCUAGCGAGCCAGCGUCUUACCCACUUAGCCACGUGAUCCCAAAUUGCUUUGGAACAGUUUCUUUUAUUUUGUAUAAUAUUUACUUUAAAGGGACAAUAACACUCUUGCUGGCUUGAAAGCUCCAGAAAAUAAAUAAUAUCUCUAUCUAAGUACUAGAUGUUUAAGUGUCCCACCUGUUGUGUAAAUUAUCCAUUACAUCCUAUUUUACUUGUCCAGAGGGUUCGAAAAUAUUUUUAAAUCGAAGUUUCAUUUGAAAAGGUUUACGUUAGACGUUUCAAAGCAUUAUGUUGAAUUGUUUAUAUAAGGUGUGUUAAGAUGAAAUUUGUAUCAUCAAUUAAUUGAAAUAUUCUAAAAUAGCCUUCAAAGGCUAAUAUCUUCGCUCGCAAUAGAGUAAUUUGAAUGAAAUUUUCAAAUUAGUCAUUUUACAUUUUUUAUCUUCGAACUAUUAUAGCAAGAAUGGCUAGCUCUUUAUCAAAAUCUUACAUAAUGUAUAUUUAAGAAUAAUUUAAUACAUUUAUAAAGCUCACACAUUACAAGUUGUGCACCUGUAUAAAAUUUAUAUAAAUUUUGUUAUCAUUGUUAAUAUUUUAUACUGAGAUGCAAUAAAAAUAAUACAUCACUUUUAUAAAUGGAUGAAUGUAAAUCUUGUUUGAAAUGAAUCCAGGUUUAACGCCCUACUUAGUACUUUUCAGCUCAAUUUUGUUUUAAAGAUUUGCUUUAAUCUUGCAAUUAAGGAUGUAACAACAUCAUAUUACGAUGAUAACAUGUGAGAAUGUUUUGAAGAUUGCGUAAACGCACCCCGAACAAUUCUCAAUCAAAAAAAUUAAACCCAACAGAAUCAGUAUGUUGAUUUUUCUGGUACACACGUGGGGUAUAUAAUGCAGCUUUUAAAAAGCUAGGUUUUGUGGAAGGUGCAAAGUUAUGCCACGUCAUCUCAGAGGUGCUAUUUCAUUGCGUCUCGAUAUAUUUUGUUUACUAUUAUCAACCUGGCCCCAAGUUCACAAAGCAUUCCCAGACUUAAGAAUUUGCUCAACCUUCAAUCACUGUUUUUGAGAAAUAUCUUUGAUCCAGAAACACAAAACUUUGCACAGUUUCUUAUUGAUAUAUUUACAUUAAAACAACAAUAGUUAGUAAAGUGCUAUAUUUGAGUUAAAAUAAGACAAACAAUUUUGAGUAAAACCUUAACUUAAGACUGAGAAUGCUUUGUGAACUUGGGGCCUUGUUUUCUUUUCAUUACUUAUUAACUACAAUACAGUAAUAACAAGAAAUAAAAAAUCUGUAGAACACUGCUGAUUAAGUUCUAGAUUUAAUCCUAGAUUCAAUCACAUUUAUAUUUUUAUACUUCCAAUAUUGAUAUUAAUUCCAAUAGAGCCAGGAAAUGUUUAGUUUAAUUAUACACUUUCUAUUUUGUUGUAUGAAAUUAUCUGUAUAAUCUGUGUUUUUGUUACUUUCAUUGUGUGAAAUGCUUGCAGCAAAGUGCUGUAAAUAAAAUACCUGACAUCACUGAUCACAGUUUAACUCUAUAACUUCUCAUUUGACCUCAAAUCUAUGUGGAGUCGAGUCAGUUGGAAGAAAUAAAUCAAAAUGGAGUGAAAUCUACAUUUUAAUCAAAUUCAUACCACAUGAUUAUAUUCUAUCACUGUUUGCUCGUUUAUAUGGCAACUAUAUAUUAUUGCUAAGCUAUUUUUGAAUUGUAAAUUACAUUUACAAGUAUGUAAAUAUUGAUUCUUUGAAUUAUAUAUUGUCAAUCAAAAUCUGAAUAUGCAAUGUGCUAUGUAGCCAUAUAUGUGAAAUAAACUAUUAUUAUUACUAUUUACUUUCUCUGUAAAUCUCUGUUAAUCUGUCGACAACUUAAACAAAUUUCUUUUUGAGUGUCCUCAACAAAACUAUUACAUACAGAAGCAAGUACACAGCUUUCGUAAUUUCUAUGUUGACUUAUUUGUGUUCAUGAAAAUAUCAACCUGUCUGAUAUAUCUUACAGUUGUAGGCUGACAUUGAGAAUAAGACUGUAAAUGUUUUGAUGUUAUGCCCCCACAUAUCUUCAUAUUCUCAACAGUUCUUAUAAGUAAAUCUAUAGAUGUAACUUUAAUUUGAACAGGAAACAAAAAUUAUUAUAUUGUACUUCACAAUUCAAGUCCUUGUCAAUGGUUAAAUGGUAUGUUACACUUUUAUCUUCAG